CUUCAACCCCCACUCCCAUUUCUUUUCUCCCACUCAUACAAGCACAGCACUGCUGCAGGGCUUCUGUACUUGCUCUUCUCUAUUAUGGAAAUGCUCUGGACUUAGAUCUUCUCAUAGCCGGCUCAUUCACUUCAUUCAGGCCUUUACUAGCAUUCAGGCCUUUACUAACCCUCCCUGGCUACUCUGUAUAAGAUUUCAAUCCCACUCCCUGAUAUAUCCUCUUCCUCUUUCCAGCAUUUUUCUCUUUUAUACUUAUCCCUAUCUG
Molecule: long non-coding RNA, 265 nt
Filed under: Homo sapiens (human)
Lineage: Eukaryota; Metazoa; Chordata; Mammalia; Primates; Hominidae
Description: non-protein coding lnc-DOCK4-7:1
Source: RNAcentral